This 519-nucleotide long non-coding RNA is filed under the name Betta splendens (Siamese fighting fish). RNAcentral's name for it is "lncRNA (ENSBSLG00000018018.1)". Lineage: Eukaryota; Metazoa; Chordata; Actinopteri; Anabantiformes; Osphronemidae. The record is from RNAcentral.
UUUCUUUUUAAAUUUACACCAAAGACAUAUUCUGUGAUUGUACAUGGGAUCUAUGUGUGUUACAGUGUUACAGUAACACCAUGGAGCUCGUGGCAGCCUGCAGGCUUUCAUUCUCUUGAAUGUCAUGUUCUCACAUUUGGCCUCUACAAAGAAAAGCCAAGGCCAAGACAGAAAAGGAUGUUUCUUACACCGAGGAAAAAACGAUCUACUGAGAGAACGCCAGGUGACUCCAGCAGCGCUCUGGCACAGAUAUUCCAACAAGACCCAAGCUUGUGGACCUUCCUGACAAUGCCAUCUGUGGUUAGGGAGGUUUGUGAUGCAGCUGCAGCGCUCUGGUUCAUGACUUGCAGUGAUGCCAGUGUAAUUUUGAUGCUGCCAUAUUAGCUUUGUUUCCAACUCUAGCAUAAAACUCACUCUUAAAGUUUCAGGUCCUCUGGGAUGGAAGCCUCUGUUUGGAGCUACAACUGGCAAAGGGAUGUGUGAUAUGCAUGUACAGCUCACUCCUUUUUUUAUUUCAGG